CUUCUCCUGCAGCCGCGUUGAUAAGUCACUUUAGACUUGCUCAGAGAAUUCUCUAUUUCGCGAAAUAUUCCACUGUUCGCUUAGUAUUUCACUUUGUAAUUGUAAUCCCUAUUACGUUGUUCAGUUAUUAAAUAACUUUUGAUUUUUGAAUUUAAACGAAUUGACUCAUUCGUGUCCUCGUUUCCGGCCGGGACGAGAACAAAGGAUUGAGUCCUCCCUCGAGAGCUUCCGAAACCUUAACAGUUGGCGCCCAACGUGGGGCUCUCGUUGGGGGAAGGCGUUGCUGAGAGGUUUGACUGCAGGUACCACGGGUACAAACAAGGAAGUGAAUUUGAACAAGAGGGAACAGAACCAAAACAGCAAGAACAAAGAAGGGAUUUCUCCUUCUAAGAAAGCAACAUUCGUGAACAUCAGGAGUCAGGACAAAUGAUGACUUUGUUGGGAGUUUAGCUCCCAGUAGGAGAAACAACAGGCAGAUGCUGAGAUGGGAGUGAAUUAGGGACGAGGAUAGAUUACAAAGGGGAUGCAGAGGUUGAAAGGUGAUGGCGACUCAUGGUCGAGGAGGGAGUGAGCAGACCUCCCUAAAACAACAACUGAUAAGAGGAGGAAUCCUGGGGAAGUGUCGGAGCCAUAAAAUCCAUCCACAGGUUGUAUUUCAUCUCAGAGUCACCCAACAGGUUUAAGAAUCACUCACGGUUGGUAUGGGGGGAAU
Molecule: long non-coding RNA, 712 nt
Organism: Gasterosteus aculeatus aculeatus (three-spined stickleback)
Lineage: Eukaryota; Metazoa; Chordata; Actinopteri; Perciformes; Gasterosteidae
Source: Ensembl